GACGAACGCUGGCGGCGUGCUUAACACAUGCAAGUCGAACGGAAAGGCCCUGCAUUUGUGGGGUGCGCGAGUGGCGAGCGGGGGUGUAUCACGUGAGUAACAUGCCCUUGACUUUGGGAUAACUUCAGGGAACUGGGGCUCAUACCGGAUAUAAGCUCCUGCUACAUGGUGGUGAUUGGUAAGUUACGGCGUUUCGGGAUGGAGUUGCGGCUUAUCAGCUUGUUGGUGGGGUAGUGGCUUAACAAGGCAUUGACGGGUAGCCGGCCUGAGAGGGUGACCGGCCACAUUGGGACUGAGAUACGGGCCAGACUGCUACGUGAGGCAGCAGUGGGGAACAUUGCACAAUGGGCGGAAGCCGGAUGCAGCAACGCCGCGUGCUGGAUGACGGCUUUCGGGUUGUAACCCUCUUUCGCCUGUGACGAAGCGUGAGUGACGGUAACGGGUAAAGAAGCACCGGCUAACUACGUG
RNAcentral lists this ribosomal RNA (468 nucleotides) under uncultured bacterium. RNAcentral's name for it is "partial 16S ribosomal RNA". It matches the Rfam family "Bacterial small subunit ribosomal RNA", at positions 28 to 507 of the family's 1533-position model. The record is from RNAcentral.